Molecule: long non-coding RNA, 735 nt
Filed under: Triticum aestivum (bread wheat)
Lineage: Eukaryota; Viridiplantae; Streptophyta; Magnoliopsida; Poales; Poaceae
Description: long non-coding RNA (TAES_LNC015844)
Source: RNAcentral
GCGUGCGUGGGGCUGGAGAUUGUGAUAGGUGAUCAGGUGAGGGCGUGCCAUACCUGGAUCGAUAGCCUUACCAUACCUGGUGGUAAUUUAAAUUUAUUACCAUAUUCGAUAUUUCCCGAGUUAUGGCCUUACCAUACCUGGAUUGAUAGCCUUUGGGGUAAUUUAAAUUUAUUACCAUAUAAUUAUCAUAUUCAAAAUUUCCUGAGUUAUGACCUUACCAUACCUGGAUUGAUUUAUUACUAUACGUGGAUUAAUUAUGAUUUAUUACUAUAUGUGGAUAGCCUUACCAUACCUGGUGGUAAUUUAAAUUUAUUACCAUAUUCGAUAUUUCCCGAGUUAUGGCCUUACCAUACCUGGAUUGAUAGCCUUUGGGGUAAUUUAAAUUUAUUGCCAUAUAAUUACCAUAUUCAAAAUUUCCUGAGUUAUGACCUUACCAUACCUGGAUUGAUUUAUUACUAUACGUGGAUUAAUUAUGAUUUAUUACUAUAUGAUUUAUUACUAUACGUGGAUAGCCUUACCAUACCUGGUGGUAAUUUAAAUUUAUUACCAUAUUCGAUAUUUCCCGAGUUAUGGCCUUACGAUACCUGGAUUGAUAGCCUUUGGGGUAAUUUAAAUUUAUUAUCAUAUAAUUACCACAUUCAAAUUUUCCUGAGUUAUGACCUUACCGUACCUGGAUUGAUUUAUUACUAUACGUGGAUUAAUUAUGAUUGAUUAGCAUAAAUACGUUGGGUAUUG